Archocentrus centrarchus (flier cichlid) is the source of this 1958-nucleotide long non-coding RNA. RefSeq lists it as uncharacterized. NCBI's taxonomy places the organism in Eukaryota, Metazoa, Chordata, Actinopteri, Cichliformes, Cichlidae. The record is from RefSeq and is a predicted model, not a curated record. The transcript is spliced from 4 exons.
UAUGCCCUUUAGAUAAAUAACCUAAAUUAAGGUAAAUUAUUGAGACAAAAAACAGAGUUUAUGUCUCAAAAGGAGGGAUAUGAACUAGGAGAAAAGUAAAGACUUAACUAAUGAAAAUCUCUCAGUUUUAUUCUAACAGGGGCCUGAACAACAACACUGGCACUGCAGGAGACUGGAUCAGCUACCAAUAAAGAGACUGGUGCAGAUCAAGGUGUUCAAGCUCAUCCUAAGAACUCCUGAACAGACUGAGAGCUCCAUAAACUCAUAUAAAAAAGGCUCCUGGUGCUCAAGAAGGAGGAGGCCAACCAUCUCACAGACAGGUGACCUGAGAGUUCUUGACCCUUGACCUCUGUGUAAAGUCUGAGACCAGGAGGAGAGUCAUCAACAGGAGAUCUCUUCGACAUGGGGAGCGUUAGGCCUUAUGCACGCUCAGUCAUAGGUUUCAGUGAAGAAAGAGCACAUUAGAGGGUCAAAGGUCAAAGAACUCCCAGGCAGAAAGCAGUUGAUUUAAAGAUUUUAAUUACAGUUGUGCUAUAUUCAGUAGUAUGACUCAACUACUAUUAUAAGGCCACCUCUACAGGGGCCACAACUUUGUGGUUCCAAGAGUAUAAUUUGUUUAAUGUUUCCUCCAACACUAACUAUUGUUCUCUUAUAAAUUCCCAUGAGGCCUCAGGGGGACACGCCCUGAUUUCAGUUUAGAUGACCAAAAGAUGACAAACCUGCAAUGAGCUGCAUGUAAGGUCAACAAGCAAUGGUGUUGCCAUAAGAAAAUAUAGAAAGCAGGACCAACAUAGAGCAAGAAGUCAGCGCUCUCAGGAGGCUGACAAACCUCACAGAAGGAAGGGAGGAAAAAAAUACACCUGUGAUCAGUGUGGGAAGGAUUUUACCUUAAAAGCUAAUCUAAAAAGACAUCAAGUGAUCCACACUGGAGAGAAGCCGUUCAGCUGUGAUCAGUGUGGGAAGGAUUUUACCCAGGCUGGACACUUAAAAACACACCAACUCAUCCACAGUGGAGAGAGAGCGUUCAGCUGUGACUUGUGUGGAAAGUCUUUUGCCCGGGCUGGACACUUAAAAACACACCAACUCAUCCACAGUGGAGAGAAGCCAUACAGCUGUGAUCAGUGUGGCAGAGCUUUUAAUGACAGUAGCAGCUUAAAGAAGCAUCAAGUUACCCACUCUGGAAUUAAGGCAUACAGCUGUGACUAUUGUGGAAAAAUUUUCAGUCGGCUAUGGUACAGAAAUAGACACCUACGCAUUCACACUGGACAUGAUGUGUACUGCUGUGAUCAGUGUGGGAAACUGUUUGGAACAGACUCACAGUUACAAUCCCACAUGUUUACCCACACUGAGGAGAGACCUCAUAAAUGUGACCUGUGCGAUAAGACUUUUAAAGCUCCACAGCACCUGAGAGCACACCAACAGAUCCACAGCAGAAAGAGACUCUACAAGUGCAGUUACUGUGAGAAGCAGAGCCACACAGAUGGAUCCAGUUCUCAGCCCUGUCAUCGCUGUGGUGGUGGGAAAGCGUUUCGCUGUGACCUUUGUGGGAAAACUUUCAGUCAUCAACAGAGCCUAAAAAGACAUCAGCGUAGACACACUGGACACAAACUGAAGUACUGCAAAGAAUGUGGGAGAAGUUUCCCCACACCAAGUGAAUUAAAACACCAUGAACUCUUCCACAGUGGGGUUAAAAAGCACCUCUGUGACCAGUGUGGGUCAUCCUUCAUCACUGUAGGUCAGCUUAAAGUGCAUAAACGAGUCCACACAGGAGAGAAACCAUACAAGUGCAGACACUGUGACAAAAGCUUCUCACGAUCAGGUAAUCGUAACCAUCAUGAAAGUAGACACACUGAAGGGAACUACAGCUGUGACCAGUGUGACAAGAGCUUCAGGAAUCUCACUUCAUACUCCAAACACAAACGAUACCACGCUGCAAAGAAACUGUUUCACUGUUACCA